UGGGGAAUAUUGGACAAUGGGCGCAAGCCUGAUCCAGCCAUGCCGCGUGAGUGAUGAAGGCCCUAGGGUUGUAAAGCUCUUUCACCGGUGAAGAUAAUGACGGUAACCGGAGAAGAAGCCCCGGCUAACUUCGUGCCAGUAGCCGCGGUAAUACGAAGGGGGCUAGCGUUGUUCGGAUUUACUGGGCGUAAAGCGCACGUAGGCGGACUUUUAAGUCAGGGGUGAAAUCCCGGGGCUCAACCCCGGAACUGCCUUUGAUACUGGAAGUCUUGAGUAUGGUAGAGGUGAGUGGAAUUCCGAGUGUAGAGGUGAAAUUCGUAGAUAUUCGGAGGAACACCAGUGGCGAAGGCGGCUCACUGGACCAUUACUGACGCUGAGGUGCGAAAGCGUGGGGAGCAAACAGG
Molecule: ribosomal RNA, 404 nt
Filed under: Pseudomonas sp.
Lineage: Bacteria; Pseudomonadati; Pseudomonadota; Gammaproteobacteria; Pseudomonadales; Pseudomonadaceae
Also listed under: 1 other name
Description: partial 16S ribosomal RNA
Rfam family: Bacterial small subunit ribosomal RNA
Source: RNAcentral